CAAAAACCUGUAGGAUAGAAACAUAGGAAUUUUUCAUUAGAUUGGAAUUUUUUUCUAAUGAUAAGUAGAGAUAGCUCUAAUUUGUGGCAGGGGUAUAUUGAGUUGUUUUCUAGCAUUUUAGUUAGGAAAACUUUUAAAUAUAAGGGAAUAUUCAUAGAAUAGUAGAGUGAACACUCAUAGCCACUAUGUAUGUUUUACCUUUGAUUACUGACAUUUGCCCUAUUUGCUUCAACUCUAUUUAUCUAGGUCACUGUGUUUUUACUGAACUAUUUAAAGUAUAUACAUAGUUCUUACUCUAACAUACUUCAGCAUACUCCAAAAAAAUGACAUGCUCCUUUAUAAUAUAACCUUUAUCAAAACUAAGAAAAUUAACAUGAUUUUCUUAGUAUCUAAUAGCUGUUUAUGUGCAAAUUGUCCUAAUAGUUUUUAUAUUUCAUAGUUGUCAAUUUUUCAGCCAGGGUUUAUAUCAAGAUUCAUAUUAGAUAUGGUUGUUAUGUCUCUUUAUCCUUUUGUAAAUGCAAAUAGACCCUGGAACUUUUUUAACAAAACUCUGUUUCACUAACUUUCAAAGAGUUUUAUCAGGCAGAUCCAACAUAGCUGAAUAGCGGAUAGCCACAGUAACUUCAGCUGCUCCAGGAUACAAAAAGAACAAAGGAAGGACCAUGUUUCCAGGGGUCUGACUGACAGAAAUUUGUGGUGAAGAAGUAAACAAACAAUGAAGCCUGGCCACAGCCAGCCAGGACGUGUAGCCAGGGACUAGCUGUGAGCACCAUCUUACCAUAUCAAGGAGACAUCUAGAAGGUGUCAGCUGACACUGUAGUUGACUGAAGGUUUGACGGAGGCAGAAGGAGCUGCCAGGAAGGCUUUACUCAGGGGGCUGUUGGAAAGAGGAUUCAUCUUUAUCACGGGGGUCUUCCUGUCAAGUUGUUAACAACAUAGCAGCCCACAGUAAGUAAACUAAAGCACCACAAAGGUGCCUCACACCUCACCAAAGACGAAAGCUCGAGCCUCUAUCAUAACCUCACCUGGGAAGUGACAUACUGUCACCUCUAGCAUAGUCUUUUGGUCACUAGAACAAACACUGGUAUGAUAUUGGUAAGGAAUACAUAAGCACCUGAGUACCACCAGGCAGAUACCAUUGGCACAUUGACUACCGCAAACCACAUUCUAGGUUUGUGUAGUGUUUCCUUGUAUGGUUAUUUAACUUGUUUUAUUUCGUUCACAUUUUUUAUAAACUAGAAACUUUGUCUACAACCUCGAUGUUAUUAAUAUCUCGAAGAAUGCUGUAAAGAUGACAUACUCUAAUUCACUUUAGGAGUAACAUAUCAGGUUGUCCCACUUAACUAAGAUGACCUGAUACCUUUGUUUUAAAAAUAUUUCCUUUUUCUCUUUACAAUUAAGUAUACUCUGUGAACUGAUACUUUGACAGCUGCCAAAUAUCCUGUUAUUUGGGCAAGAAUUUGAUUUUUAUGUGAUCUUUACUCUCUGCAACUAACUUUUCUUUUUUGUGCAUUUGCUGUGUCCCUAAGAGUUUUAAACACAUGUCUUCUUUUUUAACUCCAAUAGUUUAUGAGAUACAUAUGCUUAAUUGUCUCCAUUAAAAUUGAGAAAAAAAAUAGAUUCAGGAACUUUAAAGGUUAAGAUAUACAACUUAGUGACAGAAUCAGAACUUUUAAAAAAGAUUUAUGUAUUUAUUUGUAAAGCAGAGUUGGAGAGAGAGAGAUGGAGAUCCUCAUCUUCCAUCUGCUUGUUCACUCCCGAGAUGGCUGCGAUGGCUGAGGCUGAGCCAAACUAAAGCCAGGAGCCUGUGACUCCAUCUGGGUCUCCCAUAUGGGUGGCAGGGGUCCGCUCGGGCCAUCUUCCACUGCCUUCCCAGGCAAUUUAAGCAGGGAGCUGGGUCAGAAGUAGAGAGGCUGGGAAUCAAACCAGUGAUCAUCUACAAUGUUGGUGUCCCAGGUGGCAGCUUAUCUUGCUGCACAACAAUGCUAACCCCAGAACCUGGAUUUGAAGUCAUGUUUGACUGCUAAACCUAUGCUAUUAACUAUACUGCCUAUAGAAAGAAGGGGAAACUUCUGUGAGGAACUUUCCACAUAGCAUAAAAGGAAAGUCUCUUGCAAAUAUAGGUAGGAACCCAGGAAUACAAAGAAUAAGCUAUUGAAGCUGAUAUCUGUGAUUUGGUUACAUGACAUAACAGGCAAAAUUCACUAGGUUACAAACAGAAUCAUAUCUAAAAUACUAUAGGCAGAUAAGAUACUGUAUUACUUUAAAACUUUCAAUAAGUUAUUAUCCUAUUCUUUGAGAUAUCAUUCCUUGGCAAGAAAAAAAAUUGUCUAGUCUAUAGAUGCAAUUUUAUUAUAAAAUUACAUAAGCAAAGGGUUUUCAAAAAUUUGGUUGAAAAUGUAUAAUAAAACUGCAUAGAUUUAAAAAUGUACCUUUUAAUUGUUUUUCCAUGAACAUUUUAAAACACCUUCAUGUGAUGCAUAAUUGUUAUAAUUAUUACCUAAAGUUAAUAUUAAGUAAAUAUUUAAAUUAUUCUAGGUAGAAUUUUUAUUGGUGAGGAUUGUGGAAUGGUGGAAUGAGUAAAAAAAAAAUGUGCUUCAGUGGGAAAGGAAAAAGAAUCAGUUAAACUUUGUAUGAUUAGAUCGCUCAAGCAAUACUGAGAAUACUUGUAUUUUCUAUAAUGAUGAAAGUAUUAUGUGACCAGAACUCACUAUACUGAACAUGCAACUUUAAAGGGUAGUUAGGAAUUCCACUAGAACUUAAGAUUCCUUUAUUGUGUCUCUUCAUUUCAGAUGCAGAUAUCCCUCUCUUCAUACUAAAGCAAUUGUAUAGAUUUUUUUUUCCACCAGCCUUUUUAUUUUAUGAAUGAGAAGUCUUAGAUUGUGUGUCUAAGGUUACAUGGCAAGGGAGAUUCAAGUUAAUAGUUAAUUUCUGAGCAAUAGUAGGGCAAUUCCCGUACCUCUUUGGGAUUAUUAAGUGUCUGGAGAUCUGCUGCCCGUUCUGGUAGUACGAGCCAAAAGCAAACAAUAAACAACAGCAACCUGAAUCUUGGGUGUGACAGGCAUGGACCAAACUUUCAUUCUGUGUUCAGGAAAAGAAGUCAUUGCUGAAUGAGAAAUCUUGUUUCACUGUAUUUGUAUUGUGUGAAUUUAACUCCUUCCUAUAAAUAAGAAUGAUUUUUCAGCCUAUGCCUUUUUUAUCUGCUUUCUCUCCCACAUAGAGGCAGUGGAACAGAUUAAAUUAGUAAUUCCUUGCACUUGCCAGGCCUAAAUUGUUACUUACUGUUUCCCAGUAGGAGGGUCUUUCUUGAGAACUACUUUUAAAUAUAUAUUCUAGGUUUUGUGGCAAUAAGGAGAAAGAAACUAUAUAAUAGCUUAAAGAAGUAUAGGGUUGGUCUUAAGAAAACAUUUUUUUCCUAAAGCAAGUGACCCUUGAGGCUUCUUCGGAUUUCUAGAAAAAUCCCAAAUGACCAGUGAUACAAAGGAUAUGUGGUGCUGCUGCUCUGUGAUGGAGAACCAUUGCUACCAGUGUAACAGCUAUUGUGUAUAGAGCACAGGUGUGUUCCAGAUGUGCUUAGCUAAGUGCCUUACUUGUAUUAUCUUAUUUAAUCCACACAAUAACUCUGAGAGAUAGACAUUAAUAUUUCCAGUUGAAAGAAUGGUUAAAUGUAAUUUAAAGGGCUUACCCAAAUAUCCAAAAUAACAGUAGUCUUGAUGUGGCAGAGAAACUUUCUAAAUUAGAUCUGACUCCUAAAUGUGUGCUCUUAAUUCCCAUCUUUCCUCAAAUUUUAGAUCUAAAUAUUCUGAAGAUUUACUUCCCUCUCUUUGUCUUGAAUGUACUUUCCCUCUGCUACUCUACUUAGAUAAUACUAAAAGUUCAGUUCUGCUUAUGCCUUCUGAUGCUUUUCUUGGCCAGAUAUUUCUGUCUUCCCUCUCCAAGCUCCUUACUCUUCAUAUUGACUCAGCAUCAUUAUUUUCACUUAAGCUAUGUUAAAUCUCCCUUACCACACAUGUAUCAUAAUCAUUUCUUUAAAAGUUUGUCUAUCUGAAUGGCUAGUGACUACCUCAUAGCCAGCUUUGGUUUUCUUAUUCUCUUUUCCUCACAGCCUAUAUUUAUAUUUCCCUUCUAUGAUAUUUUCAGAAGCUUAGAAAUUUAAAGCUGAAAUAGACUUAACAACAAAAAUAAAUGAUAUAGCUCACCAACUUAAAGGACCAGGGUUGAAAAAAUAUUAGAUGUAUGAUAAGUGCUUCUUUCCUUAAUAAAAUUAAGUCUCAGUCCUAUCCUAACAAUGAGCAAAGGCCAAAUAAUCUUCAAAAUUUUAGCAUUUCUUGAAUCAGUUAUACAAAACAACCAAGUUAACUAAAUUUCACAGAGUCAUAAGCCCCUCUGAAGACAUGACACAUAAACGGUUUUGCCUUUGGAAGAGCAUGGAAAGAAGAGAUGGUCUUCAUUAUAGCAGGUAAAAAAAUAAUUGAAAGUUUAAUGCAUUUCUUGAAAGCACUAGAUGUGGGCUAAAGUAUCAAUUGAAAGUAACUGGGAUCCCCAGAACACAAGUUUACGUUCCUGUAUAGACUUCUUUUCCAUGGGCCUCCACUGGUUUUCUCACAGAUGGGGGAAAAAUGUUGAGGAUGGUCCAAGAGAUGGAAGAGAGCCCACCUUAGUAACUAGGCUUGCAAAAGUGCAAUGACUGCCUCUGGGAAACAGGCAUGAAAUCAUUGGUUUCUUCAGACUUUUUUUUUACACUAAGCAAAGCCUUGAACUACAAAGGUAGGAACAACAGACCCUCUCAUCUGCAGGGUCCAUGCAAAGUUCCAUUACUUCCUGAGAAGAAGAAGAAGCCUGCCUGAUGGAGAGGGAACUGAUGCUGUCACCCGCAGGACUCAAGCAUCCAGUUACCCAUUGCUUUUGGGAAGGAGUAGAAGUAAAGGCCCAGGCCAGCGCUGUGGCAUAGCAGGUAAAGCCACCGCCUGCAGUGCCAGCAUCCAUAUGGGUGCUGGUUCGAGUCCUGGCUGCUCCACUUCCAGUCCAGCUCUCUGCUAUGGCCUGGGAAAUCAGUGGAAGAUGGCCCGAGUCCUUGGCCCCCUGCACCUGCAUGGGAGACCCGAAGAAGAUCCUGGCUCCUGGCUUCGGAUCAGCCCAGUUCUGGCAGUUGCAGCCAUUUGGGGGGUGAACCAGCUGAUGGAAGACAUCUCUCUUUCUCUCUCUCUCUGUCUGUCUCUGUCCCUGCCUCUCUGUAACUCUUUCAAGUAAAAUAAAUAAAUCUUUAAAAAAAAAAAAAAAGGAAAGGCCUGACUGUCUAUAAGCUUCCCCAGGACUCUGGCCACUACAAAGGGAAAGCUGAAAAAUGUUCUUCUCAAGAGCUGCCAGGGAUUUAAGGCAAAGUUUGGCAGUCAUGGGGUUGAGGAUGGACAGAAAUAUAAGAUCCUGCCUCAGAAGCCCAGGGGCAUAGCCUGUGUCCAAAAGUGAGAUAGACUAGAAAAACGGAGGAUCUCAGAUAUCUCCACAAGAAGCCUAACAAAUUGCAGUCUACUGCUGGGGAAGAGCAAGAAUGGGUGAGAUACCUCCCCCAGUAGUGACAGCAUUCAGGAACUGCCAAAAGUGAAAAUGGAACAGAAACAGAAAAACUUUGAAGCAUCCAAGGCCUCACCUAAACAAGGUGACAGUAGCCUGUCACUGGAAAGAUUUGAAGCCCAUAUUGUGUUGGGGUGAAAGACAGCAACAACAAAACCCAACUUCAGCUGCUUACUACAUUGGCUCAACAACCUCUCAUACUAACAGCCUAAUUGAAGACAAUAUAUGACUAUUUCCAUAAGAAUACUAUCAUCUACAUCUGUAUUAUUCUCUGAGUAUCCAGCAUUUAAUAAAAAAGUCACAGCAUUCUAAAAAAAAAAAUGGAAAAAAUUCACUAUUGAAAGAUAAAGCAACCAGGCUGCAAGCUGAACCGGAAGUUGGAACUAUCAUGGCAUUAAAACACAUUUUACAUAAAGGAUCUAGUAGAAAAGGUUGAUAGUGUUCACCAACAGAUGGGAUAUUUUAGCAGAGAGGUGGUAAUUUAGUGACUCAUGUGGAAAUGUUGUAGAUCAACACAAUAUCAGAGAUGAAGCAUUCUUUCAACUGGCUUAUCAGAAGACUUAACACAGCUUAAAAGGAUCAGUAACCAUGAAAUAUCAGCAAAUAGAAAUUUUACAGAGGGAAAAAAUGUAAAGCAUCCAGAUCUGAAUAACUACCAAAAUGUCUCAUAUACUUGUAUAUGUAAUUGGGAUUCCAGAAUAAAGAAGGGAAAAAUGGAGGAGAAAAAAUAUUUUAAGAUAUAAUGACCAAGAACUUUUCAAAAUUAAUGAAGCUCAGAGUUUCAAGCACAGUAAAACCCAAAUGCAUCAAUGCUGGCAAUGGACGGAGAGUCUUCAGGUAAGGAAAGAUGGAUGGAACUCUCAAUUCAGUUUUCAUCUUUUGACUUCCUUAUAGUCCCCAUACCUACUGUUUAACAUUGUGGCCCGACUGUAGACAAAGGAAUUCUUAGUGCUAGGCAUCACCACCAUGGCAGACUAGAUGGGAUCAGACACAAAACAUGAAACUGCAUUUCUCAAUGUAUAUUCAGGGUAAGUAGAAACCAUUACUACUAAAAAAAAAAAAAAAAAGAAAAAAAAAGAAA
Molecule: non-coding RNA, 6652 nt
Organism: Oryctolagus cuniculus (rabbit)
Lineage: Eukaryota; Metazoa; Chordata; Mammalia; Lagomorpha; Leporidae
Source: RefSeq, a predicted model, not a curated record